AACUUGUGCUUUUUCUAUCGGUCUUACAUCCUGCAUAAUCAGCGUCGGAAUAACCAAUCAAGGAACAUAUACUACCUUUUGGAUACUGUAACACCCCAAAAUUUGCCCUCCUCAUUCAUGCAUUCAUUUUUAGGUCAUUUAACAUUUCAUAUUGCAUUUCAUCAUGUCAAUCAGAAUCAGAUCCAAGAAACUUUAUUUUAAAAAAAA
RNAcentral lists this long non-coding RNA (207 nucleotides) under Lathyrus oleraceus (garden pea). RNAcentral describes it as "Pisum sativum (pea) long non-coding RNA (PSAT_LNC040620)". The record is from RNAcentral. Lineage: Eukaryota; Viridiplantae; Streptophyta; Magnoliopsida; Fabales; Fabaceae.